RNAcentral lists this ribosomal RNA (271 nucleotides) under uncultured bacterium. RNAcentral's name for it is "partial 16S ribosomal RNA". It matches the Rfam family "Bacterial small subunit ribosomal RNA", at positions 524 to 794 of the family's 1533-position model. The record is from RNAcentral.
UACGAAGGGGGCAAGCGUUGUUCGGAUUUACUGGGCGUAAAGGGCGCGUAGGCGGAUCUUUAAGUCAGAGGUGAAAGCCCUGGGCUCAACCCGGGAAUUGCCUUUGAGACUGGGGGUCUUGAGUAUGGGAGAGGGUGGCGGAAUACCCAGUGUAGAGGUGAAAUUCGUAGAUAUUGGGUAGAACACCAGUGGCGAAGGCGGCCACCUGGCCCAUAACUGACGCUGAGGCGCGAAAGCGUGGGGAGCAAACAGGAUUAGAUACCCCGGUAGU